Molecule: non-coding RNA, 492 nt
Organism: Oryctolagus cuniculus (rabbit)
Lineage: Eukaryota; Metazoa; Chordata; Mammalia; Lagomorpha; Leporidae
Source: RefSeq, a predicted model, not a curated record
UGUCCGCGUAGUUGGGCUGCGGGAAGAUCACGUGGCUGCUCCGCGAGUCCGCCGUGAGGGACACCUCGUGGGAAUAGGUCUGCAGGAAGGCGCGCACCCCGUCCACGCCCACAAAGUGCGAGGCCGGUACGCCCGCCAGCCCGCCACAGCCCGACGCCCGCAGCAGGCGAGAGCUGUGCCAGCGCCGCAGCCUGAGCGCCAGCAGCACGAUGACGAAGGCCAGGAAGACGCAGGACACCGCGGCCACCGCCACCACCAGAUGUCGACUGAAGCUCAAACACCUGUGAAGUCUCUCCAGGGGUUUUCUCUCGAAAAUACGCCACCUGGGCAUUGUACCCGUCAUCUGCGUCAGUAGCAGACACCCUCUCCUGGCUGAUGCUGAGCAGCGUGUCCGCGUAGUUGGGCUGCGGGAAGAUCACGUGGCUGCUCCGCGAGUCCGCCGUGAGGGACACCUCGUGGGAAUAGGUCUGCAGGAAGGCGCGCACCCCGUCC